AUUUAUAUAAUAUAAAAAUUAUAUUUGACUUCCAAUCAAAAAAUCUAUGACUAUAGUAUAAAUA
Molecule: transfer RNA, 64 nt
Filed under: Liophloeus tessulatus
Lineage: Eukaryota; Metazoa; Arthropoda; Insecta; Coleoptera; Curculionidae
Description: tRNA-Gly
Source: RNAcentral